RNAcentral lists this long non-coding RNA (1012 nucleotides) under Danio rerio (zebrafish). Its description in RNAcentral is "lncRNA (ENSDARG00000117560.1)". The record is from RNAcentral. Lineage: Eukaryota; Metazoa; Chordata; Actinopteri; Cypriniformes; Danionidae.
AUGCUAUCCUUUUUCACUUGGAAUGAUACUGAGCCUCGCCUUCGACUCGGUGUACAUUUCAAUCAAUGCCUCGUUUCAUUCUGUUUGUUUGUUUGUUUGUCAGAGCUCUUUGUGAACAUGGAGACAGAUUUGUGGACCGGUGAAGAGGCAGAAUGGACUGAUCGGAGAUCAAGUUUAUUUUCAGCAACAGACACUCAUGUAGUUCAGAGAACUGAAGAGACAGCUGCGAACACUGUGCAGCAACCAACAAUACAAGACCAAAGAUGUUUGUUGGAGGAGCUCGCUCGUAUAGAACAGGACCUGAAAGAAAGCAUCCAAAGAGAGGAGCAGAGGCAACAAGAGCAGGACCAAGUAAGGCAAGAAGAGAAUCGCAUUUGCUGGAGAAGCCUGUCAUUCCUCCGACUGAACCAGCGUACAGCAAAGUAUGACCUUGUGUUUACUUCAUCUCAUGCCUGAUAUAAACGUCAGAAACUUCCAUGUCAAACAUAAGAUGUGGGUGAUGCAGUGGGUAGGUAGGUAGCUGGUUCAAGCCUCAGCUGGUAUUUCAGUGUGGAGUUUGCAUGUUCUCUCUGCGUACGCGUGUUUCCUCCGGGUGCUCCGGUUUCCCCCACAGUCCAAACACAUGCGGUACAGGUGAAUUGGGUAGGCCAAAUUGUCCGGAGUGUAUGAGUGUGAAUGAGUGUGUGUGUGGAUGUUUCCCAGAGAUGGGUUGCAGCUGGAAGGGCAAGCGUUGUGUAAAAGCAUGCUGGAUAAGUUGGCGGUUCAUUCCACUGUGGCGACCCCAGAUUAAUAAAGAGACUAAGCCGAAAAGAAAACACUAUGGUCAAUUUAGCCUACCCAACUCACCUGUACCACAUGUGUUUGGACUGUGGGGGAAACCGGAGCACCAGGAGGAAACCCACGCGAAGGCAGGGAGAACAUGCAAACUCCACACAGAAACGCCAACUGAGCCGAGGUUCGAAUCAGCGACCCAGUGACCUUCUUGCUGUGAGGCGACAGCACUACCUACUGC